GACGAACGCUGGCGGCGUGCUUAACACAUGCAAGUCGAACGGAAAGGCCCUGCUUUUGUGGGGUGCUCGAGUGGCGAACGGGUGAGUAACACGUGAGUAACCUGCCCUUGACUUUGGGAUAACUUCAGGAAACUGGGGCUAAUACCGGAUAGGAGCUCCUGCUGCAUGGUGGGGGUUGGAAAGUUUCGGCGGUUGGGGAUGGACUCGCGGCUUAUCAGCUUGUUGGUGGGGUAGUGGCUUACCAAGGCUUUGACGGGUAGCCGGCCUGAGAGGGUGACCGGCGGCGGGGGGGGCGGGAGAGGGGCAAGGGGGGGGCGGGGGGCGGCAGUGGGGGAGGUUGGACGAGGGGAGGAAGCCGGGCGGAAGGGGGGGGGGGGGGGGAGGAAGGGCGUCGGGGUGAACACCGGGUGCGCGGGUGGGGAGGGGGGAGAGACGGUGGUGAGAAAAGAAUAACGGGGGAAGGAAGUGCCAGCAGGGGGGUGAAUAAGGAGAAGAGCCCCCGGCGGCAC
Molecule: ribosomal RNA, 509 nt
Filed under: uncultured bacterium
Lineage: Bacteria
Description: partial 16S ribosomal RNA
Rfam family: Bacterial small subunit ribosomal RNA (bases 20-332)
Source: RNAcentral